AGGUGGUUUGUUAAGUCUGAUGUGAAAGCCCCGGGCCUAACCCGGGAAGUGCAGUUGAAACUGGAUAGCUUGAGUACGAGAGAGGAUAGUGGAAUUUCUGGUGUAGUGGUGAAAUACGUAGAUAUCAGAAGGAACAUCGGUGGCGAAGGCGGCUAUCUGGCUCGAUACUGACACUGAGAUGCGAAAGCGUGGGGAUCAAA
RNAcentral lists this ribosomal RNA (200 nucleotides) under uncultured bacterium. RNAcentral's name for it is "partial 16S ribosomal RNA". It matches the Rfam family "Bacterial small subunit ribosomal RNA", at positions 573 to 772 of the family's 1533-position model. The record is from RNAcentral.